Molecule: ribosomal RNA, 499 nt
Filed under: uncultured bacterium
Lineage: Bacteria
Description: partial 16S ribosomal RNA
Rfam family: Bacterial small subunit ribosomal RNA
Source: RNAcentral
GACGAACGCUGGCGGCGUGCCUAAUACAUGCAAGUCGAGCGAAGAUUUUCUGGUGUUUGCACUAGAAAAACUUAGCGGCGAACGGGUGAGUAACACGUAAAGAACCUGCCUCUUUGACUGGGCCAACUAUUGCUAACGAUAGCUAAUACCGGAUAACAGUAUUUCUCGCUUGAGAGAUAUUUAAAUGUUGGUUUUGCUAACGCUAUGAGGUGGCUUUGCGGUGCAUUAGCUUGUUGGUGGGGCAAGGGCCCACCAAGGCGACGAUGCGUAUCCGACAUGAGUGGGUGAUCGGCCGCACUGGGACGUGGACACGGCCCUGGGUCCUACGGGAGGGACCAGUAGGGAAUCUUCCGCAAUGGUCGAAAGCCUUACGGAGCAACGCCGCGUGAGUGAAGAAGGAUUUCGGUUCGUAAUGCUCUGUUGUUAGGUAAGAACGGAUAUGUACUAACGAGACAUGUGAGAGACGGUACCGAACCAGAAAGCCACGGCUAACUACGUG